AAGUCGUAACAAGGUUUCCGUAGGUGAACCUGCGGAAGGAUCAUUAACACGUAUCCAAACGUUAAACAACCCCGUGAACAUACAACCUGCUCUGGUCGCCCGCUCGCAUGGACAAGCCCAGUAAAUCAAGCCCCGGAAAGUUUUUGAUUUGGGACCUCUGUGCGCGUGAGAAAAACUGACAGCGAUUCAUAGAAGCGGUAGGUCAAGUGACACGGCGUCCCCAAGUGACCAGUGAAUGAAAGUGUCGCUGGAGCGUCAAGGACGACUCUUCAAGAUUGCUAGAGGUCGACCACCGAACCCCACUUUAUUGCCUUGCCUGUAAGCAUCCAUACGGAUGGGCAGGCCCCCCGAACAACUGUUAACAAUGGAUAUCUUGGUUCUC
RNAcentral lists this unclassified non-coding RNA (382 nucleotides) under fungal sp. Its description in RNAcentral is "partial internal transcribed spacer region". The stretch from base 1 to 46 matches the Rfam family "Eukaryotic small subunit ribosomal RNA", at positions 1786 to 1831 of the family's 1831-position model. The record is from RNAcentral. Lineage: Eukaryota; Fungi.